RNAcentral lists this long non-coding RNA (959 nucleotides) under Marmota monax (woodchuck). Lineage: Eukaryota; Metazoa; Chordata; Mammalia; Rodentia; Sciuridae. The record is from RNAcentral.
GCCAAACUUGCCGGCUACCAGAACCACGGACUCAGGCUUCCGGAAACUGGAAAAGCACAGCUGCGGCCAGUCUUCCAGGAGUCCAGAGGGGGCAAAAGACAAAGUGUGGAAGGGGAGGCUUCUUGCAGGAGAGACACUAGCCACUGGCCACUGGCCACAGGUCACUUGGGAGGAGCCAGGCACCCUGUGAGAGGUGCUCAGGUUGCACAGGGGUCCAGUCCCAAGGAGCCCAAAUGCCAUUAAAGGCCUUGCUCAGAAGUCAGACCCAAACUCAAGACUCAUUCCUGCCAGCUUGUGUUGCUGAGGAAGUGAUUUAACUUUUUCUGAGCUUUGAUCUCCUCACUCCCAAGGUGGAAAAAAUCCUAGAGCCCUCUGCAAGGGACUGUGGUCAGACUUCAACAAGAUAGUAGAGUACAGACUUAAUUCUGUACAUGUCUUAGCAGUGUCUGGGAUUAUUAAUGAGUGCAGACUUAAUUCUGGGAAAAAUGGAGUUUAAAGCAAAUGAGUAAUAGUCAGUUUGGGAAAGGAUGAAGAGAAAGCACCCCAGCCAUUUACUGAACAAAUUAUUCAUUAUUUAAUAACACCAAGUAUGAGGCAGGUUCCAGGCUUUGGGGCAGAGUAACAAGGCUGAUGAGACAGGGGCACUCAGCCCCACAGGGAAGACUGUGCCCUCACAGGUUGGCAAGGGCCAGAGGAACCUCCUGGGGAGGGGAAUGGGAGGUGUUAAGGAGGAAGCCAGCAACCUGACUGGCAGAGGAUGGGAAAGCGGUCUGAACAAAGAUGGGACUGGACACGAAGUCAACUUCACUCGGAAGGUGAAGGAUCGAGAUGGGUGCAGGAGGAAGUGCAAAGAGUUGUAACUGAGUCCCGAGGAACAGGCAGUGGGAACCCAGCAAAGAUGUGUUGCGUGGCUGGGCGGCAAGUGCAGGAAUGGGGGAGAUCCACAGAGCUGGGGGAGA